AGUAUUUUAUUUUAUUAGUUUUAUAAUAUUUGGGAUUUAUAAAAAUAUUUCGGUAAUUUUUGGGAGAAGUUUUACUAAUAAGUUAUCUCCGUAAAUCAGUUAAAUACGGAUAGAGGGUAAAAACAUUAGUUAGCUUAUAUUAGGUGGCAGCUUCGGUUAUUGCCACUGAUCAAUACUCUUUUGUUUUUUUUCAGCCACGUAAUACACCUCCUGCAGUCACCUCCUUUUCCCCAAUUUCAAAACCUUCCCUCUGUUAAUCUCUCGACCUCACCGCCUCUUCCCCCCUCACUUCUUCCCUCUCCACCGCUACAUCCUUACACACCCUCUCAAUCUCUUCAUCCAUAUAAUCACUUAUCCUACGUCUCUCUUCUCUCAGCAGCAGCGCCGCUCUCCUCCGUUUCUCCUUCUACUCGAAGCCGUGCUCCUUCCCCUGGGGCUCUCUCAUAAUCGCUUUCACUUCCUAAUUAGAAGUUCAUCGUGUUCCAUAUUCGUUCGAAUUUAGUUAAAUCCGCCGGCAUCGACAAUGAAGCACCGUGUUACUCUUGGAGAAUCAACCGAGACUUUAUAUCAAGGACAUUCAGAAGUAGUUGAAUAGCUUUGUGAAUUGAAUCAGGAAUAGUUCCUUAAGACGAAGCUGUGCUGUGAGAUAGUCCGGUAGAAAUUAAUCGGUGUGAAAAUCAGCAGAACUGAGAUAGUGUUAAAGAUGAUUCAUCUGUCCAGGCUACGCGUAAGAGUAAUGCUAGGCAAGGAUUUCAAGUGAUUAGUUGUAACUGAAUGAUCAGGUAAGGUAUUCAGGAAGAUGUCUGCGAGAUUAGUGGUAAUUAGAGUUGGCUUAAUUUCGCUUCAAAUGUAAAAUAAAUUUAUUAAAUAUUAUCAGCUACUCUGAUAAUUUAGAUUGUGUUGUAAUAAGAUUAAUUAGUUGUGAUUCUGAUUUCAAUACUAUAGCCUGUUUGCGAUCCUGUUUUAAAGGGGGUUAAACUUUGUUCUUUUAAAUUUUUUAUUAAAGCUUUCAAGUUUUAAAUUCUUUGAUUUAUAUUAGCUUUUCAAAAAUACAGGUUUUCAAAACUGCAAAUUAUUUUUGUUAUAUCCAGGUUUUGAAAUACUUGUUUUUACUUUCUCUCAAAGAUACAAGUUUUAAAUUGUUUUUUUAGUGGCUCAAAAAUACAGGUUUUAAAUUAUUUUUAUUUACACGUGGCACCAAAUCCAGACCCCCGGAUUUGCGGGCUGUCACAGUUGGUAUCAGAGCUGCAGGUUAUAAGUUAUUGAAAUCAGAAUAUAGGUGGUAAUAUCAAGUUUAAUAAGGAGGUGUGUUAAGUGUAACCUCACAUAGAGGUAGUCUACAGCUAUUUAGAAUAGUCGUGUCAAUAGAACCAAGAUUCACAUAUAGUAUUGACCUUGAGUAUAUCAUAGUGUGUAUAAUAGGUUUCCUGUUCCAGAACUAGCAAGUUUAUAUCUCAAGGAAGAAAGAACAGGCCUCCACCAGUUUCUAUCAUAUUGAGUAUUUAGUACCAAUACUAGCAACCAAAUAGAUUCACUUGUUGAGUCUAGAACUUCACUAAUUAUUUCAUAGUCCUCGUCACUAAGAUAGAGAUAAAUUGGAAGAGUAACUUUAUGUGUUUAUAUUAUAGAUCAAAAUUUCUUAACACCAGUUUGAUUGAAACCCAUAGUUGGUGGAUAAGAUUUCCUUCAGUAUUUAGCUUGUUAGUUGAUUUAGAGUCUAAAUCAUUUGAAGGGUGAAGGAUAGACCUAUUAGGUUAGCUUUAUAAUGGGACUUAAUUGAGGUUGGACCAGUAUAGGUUCUCACAUAGUCUAGAGUAAUUUUUGUAGUGUCUGCCAAUUUUUGAAUAGUAUUUGGGGAGUUAUCUUUGAUUCUUGUUAAAGAUAUAUAGAAUUGGUGAAAGAAUAUAGGUGUUAACAAGUCCGAAUUUAAAGCUUUGUAUAUAGUGAAGUAGUGAGCAUUAGAGCUAAUACAAGAAUAUGAAACUUGUAGGAUCAAGUAAGAAGUUCCGUAUAUAGUUAAAUAAUGAACGUUAAAGCUAUUUAGAGCUUGUGUAGAUUAGUGGAUAUAGUACUUGUGAGUAAGUUAAGACGUCAAUACUCAGUGGUGAUGAUUAUACGAAACUCGAUAAUAUUGCGGACUAUGCGAAGCUGAGCAGGACUUCUGACGAUCAUGGAUAUUUAUAAUGAGAUCUUUACAGUCCAUUGUGAGUCAACGAUAAUUUACGUUAUUGAGCAUCAUCGACCGCUGAAAAAUAGAAGAAGAUUAGAAUCGAAUAAUGAUCCAUCAGAGCAGCAUAUCUUGAAGAAUCUUGGCAACACCUUCCUCUUUUAUUGCUUAUAUUGAUUACUUUCUUCAUCAAUGAAUUGUUUUGAAAUUUUUUUUUCCUAGAGACAUUUAAUAAAUACUAUAUUUCUCUCUCCUGAGUUAUAAAAUGAUGCUUGUGUCUAUUUCAUCAUUUCUAACUAAUCUUUUCAUCAAAACUAGCACCUUUGGAACUUAUUCAAUUUUUUUAACCCAAGGUGCGCAUCAAAGAUUCCUUCAUCAAAAAGUCGAUCAUUUUUGGUUGAUUUUGAAUUUCUAUCAUAUUAUUCAACUCUAACUGAGAUGAACAACCCUACCUAUAGGGGACACAAGGACUACCGGUCUGUGUGAUAGGAGUUGGAUGGGACGCCAUCACUUGUGUGUGUUGUACAUUACAAGAAGGUUAAUUACCUUUAGUAGUGUCUUAAUUUAGACACGCAACACUGAGUUCUUUAGAUCAUAUUGAUCUCUCAGUUAUUCUUUUGUUUCCAAUCACGUAAUAUUUGUUCCAAUAGAUCUAAUCUUUCAUAUUCUUGUAAUUUCCAAAAGGUAUGCCAACUGAGUUGCCAAGUAAAAUUAAGCCUUUGUAGUACGAAGCAACAUAAGUAAAAAGGAUGAUGACGCGGGUAUACGGAAAUAAUCGAGAGAAUUUUAUAUUAGAAAUAAGGAUUAUUACAGAUUGAAGAGAUCAUAUGUUUUAGUUUCUUUUUGUUGAUUCCGAGGACGGAAUCCUUUUAAGGGGGGUAGAUUGUGACAACCCGGAUUUUUCAAAAUAUUUUAUUAAUGGUUUUUAUAAAAAGGAGGAAUAAAAUUUAAUAUUUUAUUCCAGUUUGGUAAAUUAAAAAAAAUAUUUAAAUAUAUUUGUUUAAAUAUUUUCCUGGUCAUCGGGGUUAUGGGAAAAUAUCUGUUGAUCGUGCAAUUAUCUGUUACGAUUUAAUUGAUCUAUUUGUAUACGAUUAUGUUUGUGCGUGCAUUUAUUCCUGCUUUUGAUAUUAUUAUACAGUUUAUUAAAAUUUAUUAUCCUCUUAAAUGGAUAUUUAUUUUUGUAAAAAUACAAAGAUAAUUUCAAAAAUUAUUUUAAUUGCUCGAUAGUGAUCACAAAUAUUUUUAGGAGUUUGUAAAAUUUUAAAAAUCUUAUUUCUAUAAGGACAUGAUUUUUAAUUAGUUUCUGAACGCAGCUAACUUCUAAAUUUUGUAAAAAUUUUGAAAAUGCUCUGUAAAUUAUGAGUAUUUUAUUUUAUUAGUUUUAUAAUAUUUGGGAUUUAUAAAAAUAUUUCGGUAAUUUUUGGGAGAAGUUUUACUAAUAAGUUAUCUCCGUAAAUCAGUUAAAUACGGAUAGAGGGUAAAAACAUUAGUUAGCUUAUAUUAGGUGGCAGCUUCGGUUAUUGCCACUGAUCAAUACUCUUUUGUUUUUUUUCAGCCACGUAAUACACCUCCUGCAGUCACCUCCUUUUCCCCAAUUUCAAAACCUUCCCUCUGUUAAUCUCUCGACCUCACCGCCUCUUCCCCCCUCACUUCUUCCCUCUCCACCGCUACAUCCUUACACACCCUCUCAAUCUCUUCAUCCAUAUAAUCACUUAUCCUACGUCUCUCUUCUCUCAGCAGCAGCGCCGCUCUCCUCCGUUUCUCCUUCUACUCGAAGCCGUGCUCCUUCCCCUGGGGCUCUCUCAUAAUCGCUUUCACUUCCUAAUUAGAAGUUCAUCGUGUUCCAUAUUCGUUCGAAUUUAGUUAAAUCCGCCGGCAUCGACAAUGAAGCACCGUGUUACUCUUGGAGAAUCAACCGAGACUUUAUAUCAAGGACAUUCAGAAGUAGUUGAAUAGCUUUGUGAAUUGAAUCAGGAAUAGUUCCUUAAGACGAAGCUGUGCUGUGAGAUAGUCCGGUAGAAAUUAAUCGGUGUGAAAAUCAGCAGAACUGAGAUAGUGUUAAAGAUGAUUCAUCUGUCCAGGCUACGCGUAAGAGUAAUGCUAGGCAAGGAUUUCAAGUGAUUAGUUGUAACUGAAUGAUCAGGUAAGGUAUUCAGGAAGAUGUCUGCGAGAUUAGUGGUAAUUAGAGUUGGCUUAAUUUCGCUUCAAAUGUAAAAUAAAUUUAUUAAAUAUUAUCAGCUACUCUGAUAAUUUAGAUUGUGUUGUAAUAAGAUUAAUUAGUUGUGAUUCUGAUUUCAAUACUAUAGCCUGUUUGCGA
Molecule: long non-coding RNA, 4484 nt
Organism: Daucus carota subsp. sativus
Lineage: Eukaryota; Viridiplantae; Streptophyta; Magnoliopsida; Apiales; Apiaceae
Exons: 5
Source: RefSeq, a predicted model, not a curated record